RNAcentral lists this ribosomal RNA (893 nucleotides) under uncultured archaeon. RNAcentral describes it as "bacterial SSU rRNA". It matches the Rfam family "Archaeal small subunit ribosomal RNA", at positions 21 to 904 of the family's 1478-position model. The record is from RNAcentral.
CCCGACUGCUAUUUGGGUGAGGAUAAGCCAUGCGAGUUGAAUGGGAAACCUAAAAAUCCCAUGGCAAGCUGCUCAGUAACACAUGAUCAACUUACCCUAUAGAGGAAAAUAACCUCGGGAAACUGAGGAUAAUGUUCCAUAGUUGAAUCGGCUUGGAAAAGUUUUUCAAUAAGAGGGGUAAGGAAAAUGGUCCUUAUCUGCUAUAGGAUAGGAUCGUGCUCGAUUAUGGUUGUUGGUGAGGUAAAGGCUCACCAAGCCGAUAAUCGAUAGGGGCCGUGAGAGCGGGAGCCCGAGAUGGGUACUGAGACAACGACCCAGGCCUUACGAGGCGCAGCAGGCGCGAAACCUCCGCAAUACACGAAAGUGUAACGGGGUUACCCAAAGUGUUCAUUAGAACUGUGGUAGGUGAGUAAUGUUCCCUACUAGAAAGGAGAGGGCAAGGCUGGUGCCAGCCGCCGCGGUAAAACCAGCUCUUCAAGUGGUCGGGAUAAUAUUGGGCUUAAAGUGUCCGUAGCCGGUUUAGUAAGUUCCUGGUAAAAUCGGGUAGCUUAACUAUCUGUAUGCUAGGAAUACUGCUAUACUAGAGGGCGGGAGAGGUCUGAGGUACUACAGGGGUAGGGGUGAAAUCUUAUAAUCCUUGCAGGACCACCAGUGGCGAAGGCGUCAGACUGGAACGCGCCUGACGGUUAGGGACGAAAGCCAGGGGAGCGAACCGGAUUAGAUACCCGGGUAGUCCUGGCCGUAAACGAUGCAUACUAGGUGAUGGUACGGCCAUGAGCCAUAUCAGUGCCGUAGGGAAACCGUUAAGUGUGCCGCCUGGGAAGUACGGUCGCAAGGCUAAAACUUAAAGGAAUUGGCGGGGGAGCACCACAAGGGGUGAAGCCUGCGGUUCA